This 510-nucleotide long non-coding RNA is filed under the name Homo sapiens (human). Its description in RNAcentral is "non-protein coding lnc-HSFY1-2:9". The record is from RNAcentral. Lineage: Eukaryota; Metazoa; Chordata; Mammalia; Primates; Hominidae.
CUGGUCUUGGUAUACUGUCCUGUAGCAGUAUAUUUUGGCUACCUGUACUGGCAUUGGCUUUUCCAAGUGUCAAGAUUACAGGAAAAGAAGUUUUAUUAUUGAUGCAAGCCCUAAACACUCUUUCGACUCCAGAGGAGAAGCUGGCAGCUCUCUGUAAGAAAUAUGCUGAUCUUGGAAAUUCACCUCUUCUAUAGAAGAGUUUGUUUUGAACUAUACGAUUUGAAACAAAAUUCUUUUUUUGGAGACUAUGGAAACAUUCUCAACAGGGAAACCCUACUAGACUUUGUAAAGCAAAUAAUGGAAAAGAUACAGAACUUUUUGAAGAAUCAUGGGAAAUUUUUAUAAUUAAAUAAAUGCUAAAAUUCUGUUUUGUGAAACAUUUAUGGGAAUUAUCACUGACAGUUUUUGUACACUUUCAAAUAGUGUUAAAGCAGCAACUCCAUGUUGUAAAUGCACAAAACAAAUAUUUAGUUAAUAAUCAACUCCAAGAAUAAAGCUGUAACAAUAAUA